GGCUCUAAUGGAAGAAGCCAACAACAUACAAAAAUAGAUAGGUAACAGGUUGAUCACAACCAGUUACAGAUUUCUUCGUUCCUUCUCCACUCCCACUACUUCACUUGACUAGACUUUA
Molecule: small RNA, 118 nt
Filed under: Microcebus murinus (gray mouse lemur)
Lineage: Eukaryota; Metazoa; Chordata; Mammalia; Primates; Cheirogaleidae
Description: Y RNA (ENSMICG00000045110.1)
Source: RNAcentral